Molecule: ribosomal RNA, 405 nt
Filed under: uncultured bacterium
Lineage: Bacteria
Description: bacterial SSU rRNA
Rfam family: Bacterial small subunit ribosomal RNA
Source: RNAcentral
GUGGGGAAUAUUGCACAAUGGGGGAAACCCUGAUGCAGCAACGCCGCGUGAGUGAUGAAGGUUUUCGGAUCGUAAAGCUCUGUCUUCAGGGACGAUAAUGACGGUACCUGAGGAGGAAGCCACGGCUAACUACGUGCCAGCAGCCGCGGUAAUACGUAGGUGGCGAGCGUUGUCCGGAUUUACUGGGCGUAAAGGGAGCGUAGGCGGAUUUUUAAGUGAGAUGUGAAAUACCCGGGCUCAACUUGGGUGCUGCAUUUCAAACUGGAAGUCUAGAGUGCAGGAGAGGAGAGUGGAAUUCCUAGUGUAGCGGUGAAAUGCGUAGAGAUUAGGAAGAACACCAGUGGCGAAGGCGACUCUCUGGACUGUAACUGACGCUGAGGCUCGAAAGCGUGGGGAGCAAACAGG